GGAGUUAGCCGGUGCUUCUUCUGCGAGUAACGUCACAGAUGUAAGGUAUUAACUUACACCCUUUCCUCCUCGCUGAAAGUGCUUUACAACCCGAAGGCCUUCUUCACACACGCGGCAUGGCUGCAUCAGGGUUUUCCCCCAUUGUGCAAUAUUCCCCACUGCUGCCUCCCGUAGGAGUCUGGGCCGUGUCUCAGUCCCAGUGUGGCUGAUCAUCCUCUCAGACCAGCUAGGGAUCGUCGCCUAGGUGAGCCUUUACCUCACCUACUAGCUAAUCCCACCUGGGCUUAUCCAUCAGCGCAAGGCCCGAAGGUCCCCUGCUUUCCCCCGUAGGGCGUAUGCGGUAUUAGCAGUCGUUUCCAACUGUUAUCCCCACAAAUGGGCAAAUUCCCAGGCAUUACUCACCCGUCCGCCGCUCGUCAUCUUCAAAAGCAAGCUUUUGAAAUGUUACCGCUCGACUUGCAUGUGUUAGGCCUGCCGCCAGCGUUCAAUCUGAGCCAGGAUCAAACUCUGA
This 511-nucleotide ribosomal RNA is filed under the name uncultured bacterium. RNAcentral describes it as "partial 16S ribosomal RNA". The record is from RNAcentral.